CUGCCCUUAGACUCUGAUUGGCAUUCGCCGUGUCGCGUCGCUCAGCAUUUGCGUAAAAUAGACUUCUUGCCUAUUUUGGCCCCACUUUGCUGUAUAGCAACCACUUGUCUCUUA
This is a long non-coding RNA of Thalassophryne amazonica, 114 nucleotides long. RefSeq lists it as uncharacterized. The transcript is spliced from 4 exons. Lineage: Eukaryota; Metazoa; Chordata; Actinopteri; Batrachoidiformes; Batrachoididae. The record is from RefSeq and is a predicted model, not a curated record.